CAAGAUGAAUAUAAUAAUUUCACACAUUCAACUUCAUAAACCACAAUAUUGUAAAUAAACUCUAAACAGAAAGAAUGCUUCCCAAUGAUAAUAAUAGAUUAAUAGUAAUAAUCUCAACCAAACAGUAACUCAGUAACUAGAAGAGAAGGCAUUUGGGAAUUCAUACCCUUUUCCACUAAUGAAAUCACCCUACAGAAUCAUAUACUCGGUAAAGGGGGGAAGGAGGUGUCAGCGACGGCAUCGUGCUGUCCUCCUUAGAUUGCGUAAUGCGGAAGGGGAACGAAAACUUGGGAAGCGAGCAGGUGAUCGGAAAGGAGAAGAGCUUACACUCCUGGGCUCAUGCGGCACGGCACUGAAUCAACUCGGGGCAAGGAGACCAUUGGAAACGGCGGCUUUCCCAAAGUCUUGGAGCUCGCGGCCGAUGAGUGCAGAUCGCUGGAUCUCAUGGAGAGGAAGAGUGAUCAAUUCACCAUUAAGGAAAGAUAAACUGACUGGUUGCAUUCCAAUUAAUUUGGGGAUGAG
RNAcentral lists this long non-coding RNA (522 nucleotides) under Linum usitatissimum (flax). RNAcentral's name for it is "long non-coding RNA (LUSI_LNC004356)". Lineage: Eukaryota; Viridiplantae; Streptophyta; Magnoliopsida; Malpighiales; Linaceae. The record is from RNAcentral.